This 336-nucleotide unclassified non-coding RNA is filed under the name soil metagenome. Its description in RNAcentral is "partial contains 5.8S ribosomal RNA, internal transcribed spacer 2, and large subunit ribosomal RNA". The stretch from base 4 to 118 matches the Rfam family "5.8S ribosomal RNA", at positions 40 to 154 of the family's 154-position model. The record is from RNAcentral.
GAUGGAACGCAGCGAAAUGCGAUAAGUAAUGUGAAUUGCAGAAUUCAGUGAAUCAUCGAAUCUUUGAACGCACAUUGCGCCCGCCAGUAUUCUGGCGGGCAUGCCUGUCCGAGCGUCAUUUCAACCAUCAAGCCCCCGGGCUUGUGUUGGGGACCUGCGGCUGCCCGCAGGCCCUGAAAACCAGUGGCGGGCUCGCUGUCACACCGAGCGUAGUAGCAAUCACCUCGCUCAGGGCGUGCUGCGGGUUCCGGCCGUUAAACAGCCUUACAAAACCCAAGGUUGACCUCGGAUCAGGUAGGAAGACCCGCUGAACUUAAGCAUAUCAAAAGCGGAGGA